UCCGGUUGAUCCUGCCGGACCUGACUGCUAUCGGGAUAAGACUAAGCCAUGGAAGUCGACGCGCGCCCUUGCGCGCGUGGCGUACGGCUCAGUAACGCGUGGUUAACCUGCCCUCGCGAUGGGUAUAACCUCGGGAAACUGAGGAUAAUCCCCAAUAGGCGAUUGGAUCUGGAAGGACCUUUCGCCCAAAGGGAUGGGGCAAAUGGGCCUCAUCCGCGCGAGGAUGGGACUGCGUCCCAUCAGGCAGUUGGUGGGGUAAUGGCCCACCAAACCUAUAACGGGUACGGGCCGUGAGAGCGGGAGCCCGGAGAUGGGCACUGAGACAAGGGCCCAGGCUCUACGGAGCGCACCAAGCGCGAAACCUUCGCAAUGCGCGAAAGCGUGACGGGGCUAUCCCGAGUGCUAGCCGCUGAGGCUAGCUUUUGCUCAGUGUAAGAAGCUGAGCGAAUAAGUGGGGGGCAAGACUGGUGUCAGCCGCCGCGGUAAUACCAGCUCCACGAGUGGUCAGGACGGUUAUUGGGCCUAAAGCGUCCGUAGCCGGCUCAGCAAGUUUAUGGUGAAAUCCGUCGUCUCAAGCGUCGGAGUGCUGUAAAUACUGCUGGGCUAGGGAGUGGGAGAGGCCGAGGGUACCUCCGGGGUAGGGGCGAAAUCCUAUAAUCCCGGAGUGACGACCAGUGGCGAAAGCGCUCGGCUAGAACACGUCCGACGGUGAGGGACGAAAGCUGGGGCAGCAAACCGGAUUAGAUACCCGGGUAGUCCCAGCCGUAAACCAUGCGGGCUAGUUGUCGGAGCGGCUUAGUGCCGCUCCGGUAACGCAGGGAAGCCAUUAAGCCCGCCGCCUGGGGAGUACGACCGCAAGGUUGAAACUUAAAGGAAUUGGCGGGGGAGCACCACAAGGGGUGGAGCUUGCGGCUCAAUUGGAGUCAACGCCGGA
This 934-nucleotide ribosomal RNA is filed under the name uncultured archaeon. Its description in RNAcentral is "bacterial SSU rRNA". It matches the Rfam family "Archaeal small subunit ribosomal RNA", at positions 1 to 922 of the family's 1478-position model. The record is from RNAcentral.